GUCUCUGUGGUCUAGUGGUAUGACGUGUCCUUCACACGGACAAGGGUAAGCUGCACCACACUAGCCCGUGUAGAUCCAAUCGCUCACAUACGUAUCGUAUUAGUCCCGGGUUCGAUCCCCGGCGGGGAUA
Molecule: non-coding RNA, 130 nt
Organism: Zasmidium cellare ATCC 36951
Lineage: Eukaryota; Fungi; Ascomycota; Dothideomycetes; Mycosphaerellales; Mycosphaerellaceae
Source: the annotation of a RefSeq genome assembly